AUGGCCCGUCUUCCCUUAAGCGCGAGACGUCGAAGAAGAAAUGUAGCAUUUAUUAAUCUGAUGAGUGCCAUUAUGCUUGUAUACUAUUAUGUGUGGUUAAUCUUUGGAUUAGCUUAUAGAAGAAAGUGUUGGCAAAUAGAAAGGAGGCUUAGAAUUAGAGAGCUAAGAGGAGAGAAUUUGCAUAAACUAAUUGGUGAGAGCGACGCAGCGUGUAUAAGUCAAUCUGAAGAAGAGUACAGGGGAGCAAGGGCAGGCAAAGAAGGAAGUAACAGGGGACAGACCUGGCCCUUGACCAUAAGGUUGGUGUGGGCGCCGCCGCCUUGGCCGCCCGCGACCAUCAGCUUGUUGUCGUCCUCCCCACAGUCCGGCGUCGACAUCCUCUCGGCCCUUCGCGCGGCAUGGGAUUGA
Molecule: ribosomal RNA, 408 nt
Filed under: Triticum aestivum (bread wheat)
Lineage: Eukaryota; Viridiplantae; Streptophyta; Magnoliopsida; Poales; Poaceae
Description: partial small subunit ribosomal RNA
Source: RNAcentral